Molecule: ribosomal RNA, 493 nt
Filed under: uncultured bacterium
Lineage: Bacteria
Description: partial 16S ribosomal RNA
Rfam family: Bacterial small subunit ribosomal RNA
Source: RNAcentral
AGUGAACGCUGGCGGUAGGCCUAACACAUGCAAGUCGAACGGCAGCACAGUAAGAGCUUGCUCUUACGGGUGGCGAGUGGCGGACGGGUGAGGAAUACACCGGAAUCUACUUUUUCGUGGGGGAUAACGUAGGGAAACUUACGCUAAUACCGCAUACGACCUACGGGUGAAAGCAGGGGAUCUUCGGACCUUGCGCGAUUGAAUGAGCCGAUGUCGGAUUAGCUAGUUGGCGGGGUAAAGGCCCACCAAGGCGACGAUCCGUAGCUGGUCUGAGAGGAUGAUCAGCCACACUGGAACUGAGACACGGUCCAGACUCCUACGGGAGGCAGCAGUGGGGAAUAUUGGACAAUGGGCGCAAGCCUGAUCCAGCCAUACCGCGUGGGUGAAGAAGGCCUUCGGGUUGUAAAGCCCUUUUGUUGGGAAAGAAAAGCAGCAGGUUAAUACCCCGCUGUUCUGACGGUACCCAAAGAAUAAGCACCGGCUAACUUCGUGC